RNAcentral lists this small nucleolar RNA (139 nucleotides) under Microcebus murinus (gray mouse lemur). The record is from RNAcentral. Lineage: Eukaryota; Metazoa; Chordata; Mammalia; Primates; Cheirogaleidae.
GCGCUGCCUUUGAGCCCAUGUCUUGCCUCCAUAUGGCGCCUGGGGUCAGGCUGUAGGGCAGAUGCCAGAGGACCAGCUUGCGCAUAAUUGGGGCCACCCCUUCCCCUCCCAGUGGCCCUUCUAACUGCCAGUGACACUG